UUUGAUUAUUCGUAAAUCGCCGCUCUUCCCUCCCUCCUGUUUUCUCUCUCUUUCUCUCUCGCUAUAACUUUCUUCACAGUUAGGGUUUCGUUUCCUUUACUUCAAAACCAAAAGCAGAGAGGGCUUCACCGACAGGAUCGAUUGCACCUGUGAUUAAUGCCGGGUGGAUACCAUGCUUGUAAUUCGUUACCUUCAUGUGGCUAAGAUUGACGAUGGUGAUGAUAAAGGUGAUGAAGAUGAUGACCAUGAGUGUGAUGCAUAUGUGGUGAUCCGAUUUUAGAAGGCAUCAUCUGAUUGCAUUUCCUCUGAAUAAAUUCAUUUUAAGAAGAUGGGUUGACUGAUUUUACUUAGUUUGGACAAAUGGCUAUUGCUGGUCUACACAACGUUUCUGUGCUUGAUUCUGCAUUCCUUAGGGACUCUCAUUCUCAAGCAUCAGCCCAGCAAGGUAACGAAGGGAGGGUCAGAACCCAAGGAUCCUCGCUCCUGCAGAUGUGGCGUGAGCUUGAGGAUGAGCAUGCGGUGAGUCGUGCCCAACAAGAAAGACUGGUCCAACAUAGGAGUGAUAGGUUGAUUACUGACCUCUCAAGGGGACACGUUUCUGAUAGUGAUAGUAAUGAACAAAGGGGUGACUGGGAGGUCAUGAGUAUGAGUGGGAGCGAGUAUGGAACACUGUCUCAAUCUCAAAUUGACUUACAGAAUGAACAUGUUGAUUCUAGAAAUUUUAACUGUGAACGAUCUUCUGAUUUUGGGGAAGUUGAAAGGGAGAGGGUGAGGCAGAUUUUUCGGGAAUGGAUGAACAGUGGUGUGAGGGAACGUGCAUCAAAUGUUCCCCAUAUGAGCAACAGCCACAGGGCAGAGUGGCUUGGUGAAACUGAGCAGGAGAGGGUGAGAAUCAUAAGGGAGUGGGUACAAAUGAAUAGUAGCCAGCAGAGAGAUGCUUCUGUUGACAGUAGAGAAGAGCAAGCUGCUGACGUUGAUACUCAAAUUGAACGAAUUCGGGAUGGAUUUCUUGUUAACCAGAAUGGAGGCCAAAAUGAGCAUUCCCGGAGGGGCAUUCGUCGAUUAUGUGGCAGACAGGCCUUGCUUGAUAUGCUAAAGAAGGCUGAGAGGGAAAGGCAGACUGAGCUUCAAGGUUUGUUGGAGCAUCGGGCAGUAUCACAAUUCGCUCAUCGCAACCGCAUCCAGUCAUUGCUUAGAGGCAGGUUUUUGCGAAAUGGCCGAUCGGUUGACAAUGAGAGAUCUGCUUCCCUGGCAGAAAGUGAACUAGGCUUAUUGAGGCAAAGGAAUACUGUAUCCGGUCUGAGGGAAGGAUUUUGCUCCAGAUUGGACAAUUCUGUAUGUGGUCAAGUAAGCAGCAACCAUUCUGAUACCUCAUCUAACAGUGAAGUUGAUGCCAAUAGUAAUGAUCAAACUCGAGCAAACAAUGCACAGGAUGCUCUAGAUGAACUUAGUGAACAAUCUGAACCUAAUAAUGUGGAGAGUAAUAGCCACAGGUUAUCAGAUGGUAGCAAUGAUUUAGGGGAUAAUUCUGUUGAAGAUAUUCGAUGGCAAGGGUCUAGUUCUCAUGAAGAGGAGUGGCAGGAACAACUUUCAGAGAAUGAAGUAUCCCUUCAAAGCGGAGAUGGUACUGGGCAAAGCUUGAAUGGAAACUCUCUGGAAACUACUGCUAGUGAGUGGUCAGAAGCUUUGCUCAAUGAAUCAGGAGAACAUAGUAAUAUGCAAGAAGCUGGUGAAGAAAUUAAUAGACAAUCUGAGCCAAUUAUUGAGGAAAGUUCUAUCCAUGAUUUAUCCGAUCAUACUGAUCAUUUGGAUGUAAUUUGGCUAGAAUCUGCUGCUCAGGCAGAACAAGUUAUGGAAACUGGGGAAAGAGACUCACAACUAGCGAAUGUUGAAUAUAACGAAUGGAGUGACGGAAUUACAGAUUAUAUGGAUGAAAACCGGCUGGGAAUUACUUCUAACCACCAAGAGUUGGGGAAUGAAGAUAUGGAACAGGCUCAUCUGCAAGAAGUGCCAGAAGAGUGGCACGAGGAUAAUGGUUUUCAAGAGGCUGUGGAACAUUGGUUAGAAGGUCCUUCUGAUCAGGAAGCUGUUCCAGUUAGAGGGGUUGAUACAUUUUAUUUUCCUGAUGAUGAUAAUGUUUACAAUGUGGAACUCAGAGAACUCCUAAACAGGAGAAGAGUUUCUAAUCUUCUUCACAGUGGUUUCCGUGAGAAUCUUAACCAGUUGAUACAAUCAUAUCUGGAGAGACGGGAAAGUAAUGCUCCUGUUGACUGGGAACUGCCUGGAACAUCACCUUCUCGUUUGUCAGAAGAACAGGAUCCUGGGCAUCAGCGUGGGAAUCAGAAUGACAAUCAGAGGGAGGCUGUUGAGAGUCCUCGACAUGCUUUACCUUCCUCACCACCACCACCUUCUCAGUCACUCUAUUAUCCUGAGUUGCACCAUGAAAACUGGCCGCAGCAUGACAUGCAUCAACGUCUAGGAUUUGAGUGGGAGAUCAUUAACGAUUUGCGAAUUGACAUGGCUAGGCUACAGCAGAGGAUGAAUAACAUGCAGAGGAUGCUGGAGGCAUGCAUGGAUAUGCAACUUGAGUUGCAGCGCUCGAUAAGACAAGAAGUGUCUGCUGCCCUGAAUCGAUCCAUGCUAGGAAUUUCUGGGGAUAGUUUGCCAAAAGAUGAGCCUCAAUGGGAUCAUGUGAGGAAAGGAAUCUGCUGUAUAUGUUGUGAAAGCAAUAUAGAUUCUUUACUGUACAGAUGUGGACACAUGUGCACAUGUUCAAAAUGUGCAAAUGAGUUGGUCCAAAGUAGAGGAAAAUGUCCAAUGUGUCGGGCACCCAUAGUUGAGGUGAUCCGUGCCUACUCCAUUGCAUGAUCUGGAGUAAUUAAGAAAUCAAAGUUGGAUUAACAAAAAAUAGAGUUUCAAUUUCAGUUCUUGCCCCUGGACCUCUCCAGCCGUGGAAGUUGUUGUGUUUUAUCAGGCUGUUCUGUGGAAGAAGGGAAAAAUGAUUGCUUUAAAGUAGCAGGCUCCAUUCUCAUUUUCCACAAAGGAACUUUCUUUCUGGUCUGAUGUGGAGAGUAAAUGGAAGUGACAAGUUUGACAGAUUGGCUUCUCCAACUGAAAUGUAGGUUUGGUUGAUACUAACCCCCUUUUUUUUGUUUUUUGGUUUUUAAUUGUUGAUAAGUAGGUUCUAGGUUUGGAAUCA
Molecule: RNA transcript, 3199 nt
Organism: Corylus avellana
Lineage: Eukaryota; Viridiplantae; Streptophyta; Magnoliopsida; Fagales; Betulaceae
Gene name: Ring/U-Box superfamily protein
Source: RefSeq, a predicted model, not a curated record